This 38-nucleotide non-coding RNA is filed under the name Schistosoma curassoni. Lineage: Eukaryota; Metazoa; Platyhelminthes; Trematoda; Strigeidida; Schistosomatidae. The record is from RNAcentral.
UGCUGAAGAGUCCCACAAUAGGAUGAAACGGCCGUCCA